UUUCCGUAGGUGAACCUGCGGAAGGAUCAUUAUCACGUAUCCACGUAUAAACCACUGCGAACUGUAUUCCCUUCGAUUAGAAUUGAGGCUCUCUUAAGUGAGGGGCUUUAGGCCAGUAGUCUUUCCAUUUCGUGAUGGGAAAGCGGUCUCGAGUUGGCUUCUUUCGGGAAGCACCUUGGUCCUAUCGGAGCGGUUAUUCAUCACGACGUUUAAACAAACUUUUAACCCCUUUAAACUUUUUGAACUGAAUCUUAAGCCAUUCUUUGGUAAGAAGAAGUGUCCUACUGGGAUGCCUUUUCUGAUCAAAAGUGUCUUAUACUUUACGAAAUAUUCGAACAAUUCUUAACAACGGAUAUCUUGGCUCUG
RNAcentral lists this unclassified non-coding RNA (366 nucleotides) under soil metagenome. RNAcentral's name for it is "partial contains small subunit ribosomal RNA, internal transcribed spacer 1, and 5.8S ribosomal RNA". The record is from RNAcentral.